CCCCUAGAUGUUCUGGGCCGCACGCGCGCUACACUGAACAGUUCAACAAGUCUUAACCUUGGCCGAUAGGUCUGGGUAAUCUUUGAACGCUGUUCGUGAUUGGGAUAGACCUUUGCAAUUAUGGGUCUUCAACGAGGAAUUCCUAGUAAACGCAAGUCAUCAGCUUGCAUUGAUUACAUCCCUGCCCUUUGUACACACCGCCCGUCGCACCUACCGAUUGAAUGGUCCGGUGAAGCGUUCGGACCGUGGCCUUUGGACGGUUCGCCGUCUGUUGGCUGCGGGAAGUUCGUUAAACCUUAUCAUUUAGAGGAAGGAGAAGUCGUAACA
RNAcentral lists this ribosomal RNA (327 nucleotides) under uncultured eukaryote. RNAcentral's name for it is "partial 18S ribosomal RNA". It matches the Rfam family "Eukaryotic small subunit ribosomal RNA", at positions 1470 to 1796 of the family's 1831-position model. The record is from RNAcentral.